RNAcentral lists this ribosomal RNA (580 nucleotides) under Curvularia micropus. RNAcentral's name for it is "eukaryotic LSU rRNA". The stretch from base 224 to 377 matches the Rfam family "5.8S ribosomal RNA". The record is from RNAcentral. Lineage: Eukaryota; Fungi; Ascomycota; Dothideomycetes; Pleosporales; Pleosporaceae.
UCUCCGUAGGUGAACCUGCGGAGGGAUCAUUACACAAAAAAUAUGCAGGCCAACACUGCGGCUGUGCCCUCGGGCCAGUCUGCUGAGGCUGAAGUAUUUUUCACCCAUGUCUUUUGCGCACUUGUUGUUUCCUGGGCGGGUUCGCUCGCCAUCAGGACCACACCAUAAACCUUUUUUAUGCAGUUGCAAUCAGCGUCAGUAUCACAAAUGUAUAAUCAUUUACAACUUUCAACAACGGAUCUCUUGGUUCUGGCAUCGAUGAAGAACGCAGCGAAAUGCGAUACGUAGUGUGAAUUGCAGAAUUCAGUGAAUCAUCGAAUCUUUGAACGCACAUUGCGCCCUUUGGUAUUCCAAAGGGCAUGCCUGUUCGAGCGUCAUUUGUACCCUCAAGCUUUGCUUGGUGUUGGGCGUUUUUGUCUUGUGCAGCAAGACUCGCCUUAAAACGAUUGGCAGCCGGCCUACUGGUUUCGGAGCGCAGCACAUUUUUGCGCUUGCAACCAGCACAAGAGGCCGGCACUCCAUCAAGUCCUCUUUCUCACAUUUUGACCUCGGAUCAGGUAGGGAUACCCGCUGAACUUAA